GAUGAACGCUGACAGAAUGCUUAACACAUGCAAGUCUACUUGAACUUCGGUUUGGGUGGCGGACGGGUGAGUAACGCGUAAAGAACUUGCCUCACAGUUAGGGACAACAUUUGGAAACGAAUGCUAAUACCUGAUAUUAUGAUUUUAGGGCAUCCUAAGAUUAUGAAAGCUAUAUGCGCUGUGAGAGAGCUUUGCGUCCCAUUAGCUAGUUGGAGAGGUAACGGCUCACCAAGGCGAUGAUGGGUAGCCGGCCUGAGAGGGUGAACGGCCACAAGGGGACUGAGACACGGCCCUUACUCCUACGGGAGGCAGCAGUGGGGAAUAUUGGACAAUGGACCAAAAGUCUGAUCCAGCAAUUCUGUGUGCACGAUGACGUUUUUCGGAAUGUAAAGUGCUUUCAGUUGGGAAGAAAAAAAUGACGGUACCAACAGAAGAAGUGACGGCUAAAUACGUGCCAGCAGCCGCGGUAAUACGUAUGCCACAAGCGUUAUCCGGAUUUAUUGGGCGUAAAGCGCGUCUAGGUGGUUAUGUAAGUCUGAUGUGAAAAUGCAGGGCUCAACUCUGUAUUGCGUUGGAAACUGCAUGACUAGAGUACUGGAGAGGUAAGCGGAACUACAAGUGUAGAGGUGAAAUUCGUAGAUAUUUGUAGGAAUGCCGAUGGGGAAGCCAGCUUACUGGACAGAUACUGACGCUAAAGCGCGAAAGCGUGGGUAGCAAACAGG
RNAcentral lists this ribosomal RNA (722 nucleotides) under uncultured Fusobacterium sp. RNAcentral's name for it is "bacterial SSU rRNA". It matches the Rfam family "Bacterial small subunit ribosomal RNA", at positions 28 to 776 of the family's 1533-position model. Lineage: Bacteria; Fusobacteriati; Fusobacteriota; Fusobacteriia; Fusobacteriales; Fusobacteriaceae. The record is from RNAcentral.